UACCUACGGGAGGCAGCAGUAGGGAAUUUUCGUCAAUGGGCGCAAGCCUGAACGAGCAAUGCCGCGUGAACGAGGAAGGUCUUCGGAUCGUAAAGUUCUGUUGAAGGGGAAAAAGAGCGGAGAGAGGAAAUGAACUCCGAUUGAUAUUACCCUUCGAGGAAGUCACGGCUAACUACGUGCCAGCAGCCGCGGUAAUACGUAGGGUGCAAGCGUUGUCCGGAAUUACUGGGUGUAAAGGGAGCGCAGGCGGACUGUCAAGUUGGGAGUGAAAACUACGGGCUCAACCCGUAACUUGCUUUCAAAAC
This 305-nucleotide ribosomal RNA is filed under the name uncultured bacterium. RNAcentral's name for it is "bacterial SSU rRNA". It matches the Rfam family "Bacterial small subunit ribosomal RNA", at positions 335 to 633 of the family's 1533-position model. The record is from RNAcentral.